GCACAUUAAACUUUAGAAGUCUUUAUUCCCUUAUGAGCUAAGCUGUGAGUUAGGCAGUUUACAGGUGGGCAUGGAUUCAAGUAUCCUGAGUCUUUGUGAUAUAGAUAAACAGAGAAAUUACAUUUCUCUGUCCUCGUGACUUCACAAAAGAAGCCAUAGCAACAAGUGGAAUUUUUUCUAUAACAACUUUUUUUUAAACACACACAGGCUGCAAACUCAGCAUUUCAGGGAUCAAGGCAGUGUCAGUGAAGGGGGCUGCUGAAGCAAGAAAAAAAUCGUUCAGCAUGGAGUAGAGUGAGAGAAGAAAGAAAAAAGAGAUAGGCUCUAUGUUAACAGGAGAAGCAAACUUGUAAGCUUUCGGGAAUGUUCCAGCGAGAGGGACUGGACACUACCAGGGAGAUGGUUUUGGGGAAACUCAGGACUGGAAGAUCUGAUGGUGUUGCCCUGCAAGGAGUAACCAGGCUGGCAGAAGUCAGGGUGACUCCAUUUUGUGCUGAAAGCACAUUGCUGGUAACAGGGCUCUGAGUCAAAGCUGCACAGCACAAAGGCAUCCAGGGCUAGAGGGCAGGUGGUGACACAACCCCUUGAUGGUCUGGAUUGACUCCUAAAGCAUCACAGAAGGGUACUGCUUUUACCCAUGUUUUCUGAAACUUGACAACUGAGGAAGGAAGAUGUAUAUAUUAGUACCGCUGAAAAGGAAAGGAAAUUACCAUUUUUCUCUUCUAAUCUGAAGACAGAACAUUAAAUUGAACAAUAUGUUGCAGUGGUAUACACAAUACUGUUCUUAUGAGCUUAACUUCAUGUGAAAUUAAGAUGGAAAUUGGUCUCUAAUCUCUCUCACAUAUUCCCAUGCAGCUGCUUCA
Long non-coding RNA from Mauremys mutica (yellowpond turtle), 863 nucleotides. RefSeq lists it as uncharacterized. Lineage: Eukaryota; Metazoa; Chordata; Testudines; Geoemydidae. The transcript has 3 exons. The record is from RefSeq and is a predicted model, not a curated record.